UUUUCUUUCACAAACUUUUUAGUUUGAAACAUUCAUUAUAUCUCUUACCUCCAUUAUUAAGUCUUAUUAUUCACCAUGAACUCUUAUUAAGUCUUAUUAUUCACGCGAACCCUCGUAGAGACUUCACUGUCAACUCCCAAGGAAACUUUUCUAGACAAGCAUAACAGAGAGCUUAGAAGAUAAAGCAAUAGGCGAUGUCAUUGUUGCUUCAACUUCUUAUUCCUCGAAUUAUUUUCACUCAAACUUAUUUUCUCUUCAUAUUCUAUUUUUAUUCACUUUGCAAUUAGAAUCCUUACAUUACAAAACCGACGGAUAUUCAUCGACACAGAUUCUUUAAAAAUUUGGUUUACUGAAGAAUUUACCGGUGAUGUAAAUGUUGAAUUUAAUGUUGAAUUUAUUGACGAAUGUAUUUGUUGAUAAUUUAGUGAUAAAACAUAAGACCAAUUAUCCGUCGAUAAAUUGUAUGACUUUUAUUGACAGUUGCGACUGUCUACCGCAAAACUUAAACAUUUUAGAGGUUAAAUUUAUGCUAUUAGACUUAUAUUAUCAUAUAAGUUAUUUGUAAUUUUGAUGAAACUGUUUAAAUUGAAAUUUUAUCUGAAUUUAAACUUUAUUUGAAUUGGAAUUUUGUUUUUGAAUUAGGUCUGAAUUGGAAUUUUGUUUUUGAAUUGGAUCUGUUUUUCUGAAUUACAAGUAUGAAUAAGACAUUAAUAAGACAUUAAACAAAGCUCGCUUUAAAAAAAAUCCAUAAUUAAUGAUGGUUAUGACUAUAACUGUCGUUGUUGUUUACUGUUUUUAACAAAACCUAAAUCAAUGACGAAUUUAGAAUUGUCUUCAUAGGCUUUGGUUAGUUGUGGAUAAGCAUUACUAUAGUAGUGUCUCCCCUAAAUCAGAACGCUUCCCUAAAAAUCGAAACUUCUUCUUCCCGAAAAUCUCAGUCUCCUGGACGAAGAUCCCUUACUGCCGGAGAGCUGACAAGAACGACGGUGUCGUCGGUGCCAACUCCUCAAUGCUGCUCACACUAUUGCCUGAGUAAUUUGUGUGGUGACUUUGCCGCUGCUGCAAUCCUCACGCCACCACAUCGUUGACGGAUAAGUUGUUGGUUAAGAACAUCAAAGCUACGAGGGAGGCAUAGGGAACCCCAUUCAUUGGCAGAGAUGUUCGCGUGAGCGAGGCUGCGAGGGAGGUUGCUAAAUUUGUGGUUGCACCAUCAAGGAAAUAAUCCAAGCCUUACGUGAUUUAUGGAAUCCUACUUUCGAUCCUUUUUAUAUAUGAAAUCAGAGGCUAUACAACCUUAGUACGUGUUCUUUUCAUUGUUUGUUUGCAUUAUUUUCCUAUAUUGAUUUUGCUUGAUUAGAAAAACACUUCACGCUUACAAAAUACUUUUACAGGCUACGUCGUUCAUGGAUUGUGGUUGAAUUUACCAUUUGGUACUUUCUUUUUUAGCAAAUUGGAACAAAAGUAAGACUUUGCUGUAUUGGUUUUUUUUGCUUUAGUUAUUAUUUACUUUAUUUAAA
Long non-coding RNA from Vigna unguiculata (cowpea), 1517 nucleotides. The record is from RefSeq and is a predicted model, not a curated record. Lineage: Eukaryota; Viridiplantae; Streptophyta; Magnoliopsida; Fabales; Fabaceae.